GGCAUCAUGGGACUCGGCGGCGGCAGGGAUUGUGGGAAAUGUAGUUUAACGACUCCUCCUCGCCAUUCCUGUAAUGGCUGCUUCCUGGAAGGUAGUGUCACGUGGAACCUCUUAAUCUCAGCAUCCGGAGCUCCAGGAAGGGAAAAUUUCAAGUCAGAUAGAAUUCUAUAUAUACCAUUUCUUUGGAACCUUCAGCCCUCAAGAUUCCAACAUCAUGACCUCAGUUUCAACACAGUUGUCCUUAGUCCUCAUGUCACUGCUUUUGGUGCUGCCUGUUGUCGAAGCAGUAGAAGCUGGUGAUGCAAUCGCCCUCUUGUUAGGUGUGGUUCUCAGCAUUACAGGCAUUUGUGCCUGCUUGGGGGUAUAUGCAAGAAAAAGAAAUGGACAGAUGUGACUUUGAAAGGCCUACUGAAUCAGACUUCACCCUUUUCAGACUUUGUGCAAUAGAGGCUAAACCUGAACUUUGGCGUCUGAAAGUUUCCAAGAAUCAGUAAAUAAGGGAGUUUUACAUUUUUUUUGUUGUUUCAAUGAAAUGAACGGGAACAAACAUACAUAUAUAAAUUGGGGAAAAAAGUUUUCUUUGCAACAAAUAAUGUGUAGAAAAAUGCAGCCUAUAAUUUGUAUUUGCUACUUAGAAAAGAGGUCAAAGAAGUAAGAUGGCUGAAAUUUACAUAAGUAAUAUUUCAUAGUUUUCUAAUUCUCAAAGCAUGUGAAAUAGGAAGAAGGAAGUUCUUGCCCAGAAUCUUAGGAAAUCACCCCUGUGCGGUUAUAAUCACUGCCUCCUGAAUCAUUGAAGAGUCUUUUCUCCAUCUUUUUAUUAGAUUUUUGUUUUGUUGUCUUUCAAGUUAAUAUUGUAUUUAGAUAUAAGAGAGUCAACUAAAAAGGGAAACUUUUAUCUCUGGGGAAAAAAACGUUUAGAAAAAUGUAUUCAGUGUAUCUAAUGAAAUGUAGAAAAAAAUUAAUGUUAAAAGAACACUAUAGACAUUGACAUGGAAAAGAGAUUUGUUAAGAAAAAACUUUAUAUUAACUGAGUAACAUCCUCUGGAUGAGAAGUGCUAUAUUAAAUAUAAACCCAUUAUGUUGUAA
Long non-coding RNA from Callithrix jacchus (white-tufted-ear marmoset), 1086 nucleotides. RefSeq annotates it as small integral membrane protein 30. The record is from RefSeq and is a predicted model, not a curated record. NCBI's taxonomy places the organism in Eukaryota, Metazoa, Chordata, Mammalia, Primates, Cebidae.